Molecule: ribosomal RNA, 939 nt
Filed under: Sphaceloma murrayae
Lineage: Eukaryota; Fungi; Ascomycota; Dothideomycetes; Myriangiales; Elsinoaceae
Description: LSU rRNA
Rfam family: Eukaryotic large subunit ribosomal RNA
Source: RNAcentral
GUACCCGCUGAACUUAAGCAUAUCAAUAAGCGGAGGAAAAGAAACCAACAGGGAUUGCCUCAGUAACGGCGAGUGAAGCAGCAACAGCUCAAAUUUGAAAUCUGGCGCCCCCCGGCGUCCGAGUUGUAAUUUGUAGAGGAUGCUAUUGGGUUGCCACCGGUCUAAGUCCCUUGGAACAGGGCGUCACAGAGGGUGAGAAUCCCGUAUGUGACCGGCCUGGCACCCUCCGUAUAGCUCCUUCGACGAGUCGGGUUGUUUGGGAAUGCAGCCCUAAAUGGGAGGUAAAUUUCUUCUAAAGCUAAAUACCGGCCAGAGACCGAUAGCGCACAAGUAGAGUGAUCGAAAGAUGAAAAGCACUUUGGAAAGAGAGUUAAAAAGCACGUGAAAUUGUUGAAAGGGAAGCGCUUGCAAUCAGUCUCGACGGCGGCCGUUCUGCCCCCCUUCUGGGAGGCCUACUCGGUCGCCGCCGGGCCAGCAUCAGUUUCGGCGGUCGGACAAAGGCGGUGGGAACGUGGCCCCCCUCGGGGGGUGUUAUAGCCCACCGCGCAAUACGGCCCGCCGGGACUGAGGUCCGCGCUCCGGCUAGGAUGCUGGCGAAAUGGUUGUAAGCGGCCCGUCUUGAAACACGGACCAAGGAGUCUAACAUCUAUGCGAGUGUUUGGGUGUCAAACCCGUGCGCGUAAUGAAAGUGAACGGAGGUGGGAGCCGCAAGGCGCACCAUCGACCGAUCCUGAUGUCUUCGGAUGGAUUUGAGUAAGAGCAUAGCUGUUGGGACCCGAAAGAUGGUGAACUAUGCCUGAAUAGGGUGAAGCCAGAGGAAACUCUGGUGGAGGCUCGCAGCGGUUCUGACGUGCAAAUCGAUCGUCAAAUUUGGGUAUAGGGGCGAAAGACUAAUCGAACCAUCUAGUAGCUGGUUCCUGCCGAAGUUUCCCUCACGAU